AUUGAACGCUGGCGGCAUGCUUUACACAUGCGAGUCGAACGGCAGCGCGGGCUUCGGCCUGGCGGCGAGUGGCGAACGGGUGAGUAAUACAUCGGAACGUGCCCAGUAGUGGGGGAUAGCUCGGCGAAAGCCGGAUUAAUACCGCAUACGACCUGAGGGUGAAAGCGGGGGAUCUUCGGACCUCGCGCUAUUGGAGCGGCCGAUGGCAGAUUAGCUAGUUGGUGGGGUAAAGGCCUACCAAGGCGACGAUCUGUAGCUGGUCUGAGAGGACGACCAGCCAAACUUGGACUUGGGCACGGCCCCAGCUCCUUAGGGGAGGAGGCAUGGGGAAAUUUUGGCAAAGGGGCGAAAGCUUGACCAGGAAAGGCGCGUGUGUGAUGAAGGCCUUCGGGUUGUAAAGCACUUUUGGCGGGAACGAAAAGGACUGUGCCAAUACCACGGUUCGAUGACGGUACCCGCAGAAUAAGCACCGGCUAACUACGUG
Molecule: ribosomal RNA, 484 nt
Filed under: uncultured bacterium
Lineage: Bacteria
Description: partial 16S ribosomal RNA
Rfam family: Bacterial small subunit ribosomal RNA
Source: RNAcentral